RNAcentral lists this long non-coding RNA (596 nucleotides) under Pan troglodytes (chimpanzee). RNAcentral's name for it is "lincRNA". The record is from RNAcentral. Lineage: Eukaryota; Metazoa; Chordata; Mammalia; Primates; Hominidae.
UUUUGGCAACCAGGAAGGGACCUCCAAAGCGACCUGCCGCUGACUCCCAUCCCUCCGGAUCCGGCAGGGUGUCCGCUGUGUUCCUGAACCAGCAAGGCACCCAUUGCCGCUUCUGAUUGGGCUAAAGGCUUGCCAUUGUUCCUGCAUGGCUAAGUGCCCAGGUUCGUCCUAAUCGAGCUGAACACUAGUCACUGGGUUCCACGGUUCUUUUCCAUGACCCAUGGCUUCUAAUAGAGCUAUAACACUCACCGCACGGCCCAAGAUUCCAUUCCUUGGAAUCCGUGAGGCCAAGAACCCCAGGUCAGAGAACACGAGGCUAGCCACCAUCUUGGAAGCGGCCCACCACCAUCUUGGAAGUGGCUCGCCACCAUCUGAGGAGCUCUGUGAGCAAGGAUCCCCGGGAGAAAGCAUUUAUGGUGAGGAGAAAAACAGCUGGUAUCACACUCUACCCAAGUCCCAAAAGCAGGUUCACAUAACUCUUGUCUUCAUUAUCUGAUAUCCGUAUGAAGAAUGUAAGAUAGAAAAAAACAUUAGCAUUUGAGAGGAUUGAAAGAGAAGCAUUCUCAGCAGAGCCAAGAUUCACUUAGAACAAAAGG